GCCUCUGUAGCUCAGUUAGUUAGAGCGCCGCACCGGAAAUGCAGGGACACAGGUUCAAUUCCUGCCAGAGGGC
This is a non-coding RNA of Paramuricea clavata, 73 nucleotides long. Lineage: Eukaryota; Metazoa; Cnidaria; Anthozoa; Malacalcyonacea; Plexauridae. The record is from the annotation of a GenBank genome assembly.